This 214-nucleotide long non-coding RNA is filed under the name Gossypium raimondii (Peruvian cotton). Its description in RNAcentral is "long non-coding RNA (GRAI_LNC004436)". Lineage: Eukaryota; Viridiplantae; Streptophyta; Magnoliopsida; Malvales; Malvaceae. The record is from RNAcentral.
AAUAUUUAAAAAGAAAAAUAAUUUAUAAAAUAUUAAAAGGACAGAUAAAAAGGAUGAAAUUAAGAUUGUAAUAAUAAUAAUGAAAAUGAGAGUAAUAAUAAUGGUAGUAGCAAUAAAAAAUACACUAAGAAAUAAAAAAAAACUAUUAUAAAAUGGGUGAAAUUAGAGUUAUAAUAAAAAUAAAAAUAAUGAUAAAUAAAUAAAUAGUCCAAAG